GCUCGACGGCGUACUUUUUGUAGAACGGUCCGACGAGUUAUGGCUGCAAGCGAGGUUAAGUACUAGAAAGUACGGAGCCGAAGGGAAACCGAGUCUGAAGUGGGCGUUAAGUUUGCGGUUAUAGACCCGAAACCGGGUGACCUAUCCAUGAGCAGGUUGAAGGUAAGGUAAAACUUACUGGAGGACCGAACCGGUGUAAGUUGAAAAUUGCUCGGAUGACUUGUGGAUAGCGGAGAAAUUCCAAUCGAACUCGGAGAUAGCUGGUUCUCCUCGAAAUAGCUUUAGGGCUAGCCUUGCGUAUGUCUGCCGGAGGUAGAGCACUGAAUUGGCUAGGGGGCUGCACAGCCUACCGAACCUUAUCAAACUACGAAUGCCGGACAGAUCAGAGCGCAGGAGUCAGACAGCGACAGAUAAAUGCCAUUGUCAAAAGGGAAACAGCCCAGAUCGCCAGCUAAGGCCCCAAAAUUACGGUUAAGUGGUAAAGGAUGUGGAUUUGCUAAGACAGCUAGGAUGUUGGCUCAGAAGCAGCCAUUCAUUCAAAGAGUGCGUAAUAGCUCACUAGUCGAGUGAGUCUGCGCCGAAAAUCACCGGGGCUCAAACCGUAUGCCGAAGCUGCGGGCGCAACUAUGUUGCGCGGUAGAGGAGCUUACUGUAAGCAGUAGAAGCACGAUCGAUAAGGACGUGUGGAUGUAUCAGUAGUGAGAAUGUCGGAAUAAGUAACGAGAGAAAAGUGAGAAUCUUUUCCGUCGAAAAUCCAAGGUUUCCUGGGGAAGGGUCGUCCUCCCAGGGUUAGUCGGGACCUAAGACGAGGCCGAAAGGCGUAGCCGAUGGACAACAGGCAGAUAUUCCUGUACUACCGAUACUCUGAUGGGGAGGGAAAUAUAAGUACCGAAGCCGGUGAUUUCACACUGACGAGAAAAGCCGCUAUCCAGAGUAAUGGUACCCGUACCGCAAACCGACACAGGUGGAUGAGGAGAGAAUCCUAAGACGAGCGGGAGAAGCGUUGUUAAGGAACUCGGCAAAUUAACCCCGUAAGUUCGCAAUAAGGGGAGCCUCGGAGCAAUCCAGGCCGCAGAUAAAUGGCCCAAGCAACUGUUUACCAAAAACACAGGUCUCCGCUAAAUCGUAAGAUGAGGUAUGGGGGCUGACGCCUGCCCGGUGCUGGAAGGUCACGGGAAUCCGUCAGAGCAAUCGAAGCGGUGAACUUAAGCCCCAGUAAACGGCGGCCGUAACUAUAACGGUCCUAAGGUAGCGAAAUUCCUUGUCAG
This 1268-nucleotide ribosomal RNA is filed under the name bovine gut metagenome. Its description in RNAcentral is "bacterial LSU rRNA". It matches the Rfam family "Bacterial large subunit ribosomal RNA", at positions 591 to 1975 of the family's 2925-position model. The record is from RNAcentral.